This 30-nucleotide non-coding RNA is filed under the name Rattus norvegicus (Norway rat). Lineage: Eukaryota; Metazoa; Chordata; Mammalia; Rodentia; Muridae. The record is from RNAcentral.
UUACACCCGUUACCCACUGGAUUUGAAAAG